UAAUACAUGCAAGUCGAGCGAACAGAUAAGGAGCUUGCUCCUUUGACGUUAGCGGCGGACGGGUGAGUAACACGUGGAUAACCUACCUAUAAGACUGGGAUAACUUCGGGAAACCGGAGCUAAUACCGGAUAACAUAUUGAACCGCAUGGUUCAAUAGUGAAAGGCGGCUUUGCUGUCACUUAUAGAUGGAUCCGCGCCGUAUUAGCUAGUUGGUAAGGUAACGGCUUACCAAGGCAACGAUACGUAGCCGACCUGAGAGGGUGAUCGGCCACACUGGAACUGAGACACGGUCCAGACUCCUACGGGAGGCAGCAGUAGGGAAUCUUCCGCAAUGGGCGAAAGCCUGACGGAGCAACGCCGCGUGAGUGAUGAAGGUCUUCGGAUCGUAAAACUCUGUUAUCAGGGAAGAACAAAUGUGUAAGUAACUGUGCACAUCUUGACGGUACCUGAUCAGAAAGCCACGGCUAACUACGUGCCAGCAGCCGCGGUAAUACGUAGGUGGCAAGCGUUAUCCGGAAUUAUUGGGCGUAAAGCGCGCGUAGGCGGUUUUUUAAGUCUGAUGUGAAAG
RNAcentral lists this ribosomal RNA (569 nucleotides) under uncultured bacterium. RNAcentral's name for it is "bacterial SSU rRNA". It matches the Rfam family "Bacterial small subunit ribosomal RNA", at positions 49 to 600 of the family's 1533-position model. The record is from RNAcentral.